This 403-nucleotide ribosomal RNA is filed under the name uncultured bacterium. Its description in RNAcentral is "partial 16S ribosomal RNA". It matches the Rfam family "Bacterial small subunit ribosomal RNA", at positions 28 to 526 of the family's 1533-position model. The record is from RNAcentral.
GACGAACGCUGGCGGCGUGCCUAAUACAUGCAAGUCGAACGCAGUGGGGACGGGUGAGUAACACGUGGGUAACCUCCCAUCAGAGGGGAUAACACUUGGAAACAGGUGCUAAACCUAUAUUGAUGGAAGGACUCGCGGUGCAUUAGCGAGUUGGUGAGGUAACGGCUAACCAAGGCCACGAUGCAUAGCCGUCCUGGUAGGGUGAUCGGCCACACUUGGACUGAGCCACGUCCCAGGCUCCUACGUGAGGCAGCAGUAGGGAAUCUUCAGCAAUGGGCGAAAGCCUGACCUAGGCACGCCGCGUGAGUGAAGAAGGUUUUCGGAUCGUAAAACGCUGUUGUUGGAGAAGCGGUAUCUAACCAGAAAGCAACGGCUAACUACGAGCCAGCAGCCGCGGUAAUAC